AACUGAUACUACCUGCGGGAACCUGCGGAGGGAUCAUUAAAAAAAGGGUCAUUUGACCCAUUUUUUUUAAAAACUCACUAUCAGUUCUACUGGAAGUGGGUUUUUUUCAAACACCAAAAAUUUUAAACUAUUCGUCUUUUGACGAAACUUAGAAAUUAAUAAAUAAAACUUUUAACAAUGGAUCUCU
Molecule: unclassified non-coding RNA, 187 nt
Filed under: soil metagenome
Description: partial contains 5.8S ribosomal RNA, internal transcribed spacer 2, and large subunit ribosomal RNA
Source: RNAcentral